CCUACGGGUGGCAGCAGUGAGGAAUAUUGGUCAAUGGACGAGAGUCUGAACCAGCCAAGCAGCGUGCAGGAUGACUGCUCUAUGGGUUGUAAACUUCUUUUGUACGGGGGUAAACCGUUACACGUGUAUGCUUCUGUAAGUACCGUACGAAUAAGGAUCGGCUAACUCCGUGCCAGCAGCCGCGGUAAUACGGAGGGUUCGAGCGUUAAGCGGAUUUAUUGGGGGUAAAGGGUGCGUAGGCGGUAUGAUAAGUUAGGGGUGAAAUCCCCGCGCUCAACGUGGGAACUGCCUUUGAAACUGGCGAACUAGAGAGUAGUUGAGGUAGGUGGAAUGUAAGGUGUAGCAGUGAAAUGCUUAGAGAUC
RNAcentral lists this ribosomal RNA (363 nucleotides) under uncultured bacterium. RNAcentral's name for it is "partial 16S ribosomal RNA". It matches the Rfam family "Bacterial small subunit ribosomal RNA", at positions 338 to 698 of the family's 1533-position model. The record is from RNAcentral.